CAGUCGCCGCGGGAAUACGUAGGGUGCAAGCGUUAAUCGGAAUUACUGGGCGUAAAGCGUGCACAGGCGGUUAUAUAAGACAGAUGUGAAAUCCCCGGGCUCAACCUGGGAACUGCAUUUGUGACUGUAUAGCUAGAGUACGGCAGAGGGGGAUGGAAUUCCGCGUGUAGCAGUGAAAUGCGUAGAUAUGCGGAGGAACACCGAUGGCGAAGGCAAUCCCCUGGGCCUGUACUGACGCUCAUGCACGAAAGCGUGGGGAGCAAACAGGAUUAGAUACCCCUGUAGUCCCUGUCUCUUAUAC
RNAcentral lists this ribosomal RNA (301 nucleotides) under uncultured bacterium. RNAcentral describes it as "partial 16S ribosomal RNA". It matches the Rfam family "Bacterial small subunit ribosomal RNA", at positions 509 to 807 of the family's 1533-position model. The record is from RNAcentral.